This 490-nucleotide ribosomal RNA is filed under the name uncultured bacterium. RNAcentral describes it as "partial 16S ribosomal RNA". It matches the Rfam family "Bacterial small subunit ribosomal RNA", at positions 28 to 507 of the family's 1533-position model. The record is from RNAcentral.
GAUGAACGCUAGCUACAGGCUUAACACAUGCAAGUCGCGGGGCAGCAUGGGGGUUGCUUGCAAUCCCCGAUGGCGACCGGCGCACGGGUGAGUAACGCGUAUCCAACCUGCCCUUCACCACGGGAUAACCCGGCGAAAGUCGGACUAAUACCGUAUGUUGUCCAUUGACGGCAUCCGAUUUGGACGAAAGGUUUGGCGGUGAAGGAUGGGGAUGCGUCCGAUUAGCUGGACGGCGGGGUGACGGCCCACCGUGGCGACGAUCGGUAGGGGUUCUGAGAGGAAGGUCCCCCACACUGGAACUGAGACACGGUCCAGACUCCUACGGGAGGCAGCAGUGAGGAAUAUUCGUCAAUGGGCGUAAGCCUGAACCAGCCAAGUAGCGUGCAGGAUGACGGCCCUAUGGGUUGUAAACUGCUUUUAUGCGGGGAUAAAGUGGCCCACGUGUGGGUUUUUGCAGGUACCGCAUGAAUAAGGACCGGCUAAUUCCGUG